Molecule: ribosomal RNA, 429 nt
Filed under: uncultured fungus
Lineage: Eukaryota; Fungi
Description: eukaryotic LSU rRNA
Rfam family: Eukaryotic large subunit ribosomal RNA
Source: RNAcentral
GGCCUCGGAUCAGGUGGGGAUACCCGCUGAACUUAAGCAUAUCAAUAAGCGGAGGAAAAGAAACCAACAGGGAUUGCCUCAGUAACGGCGAGUGAAGCGGCAACAGCUCAAAUUUGAAAUCUGGCUCACGCCCGAGUUGUAAUUUGUAGAGGAUGUUUCGGGUGAAGCCGCGGUCCAAGUCCCUUGGAACAGGACGUCAUAGAGGGUGAGAACCCCGUACCUGGCCGCCGGUGCCCCCCGCUGUGAAACUCCUUCGACGAGUCGAGUUGUUUGGGAAUGCAGCUCUAAAUUGGUGGUAAAUUCCAUCUAAAGCUAAAUACCGGCCAGAGACCGAUAGCGCACAAGUAGAGUGAUCGAAAGAUGAAAAGCACUUUGAAAAGAGAGUUAAAAAGUACGUGAAAUUGUUGAAAGGGAAGCGCUUGCGGCCAG